GACGAACGCUGGCGGCGUGCUUAACACAUGCAAGUCGAACGGGCCCGCCCCUGUUUUUGGGGGUGGGUUGAGUGGCGAACGGGUGAGUAUCACGUGAGUAACCUGCCCCCUGCUCCUGGAUAACUGCUUGAAAGGGCGGCUAAUACGGGGUGUGCCGGCUGGUCCGCAUGGGCCUGGUCGGGAUAGUUUCAUCUUCGGGUGUUUCGGUGGGGGAUGGGCUCGCGGCCUAUCAGCUUGUUGGUGGGGUGAUGGCCCACCAAGGCGGUGACGGGUAGCCGGCCUGAGAGGGUGGGCGGCCACACUGGGACGGAGACACGGCCCAGACUCCUGCGGGAGGCAGCAGUGGGGGGUAUUGCACAAUGGGCGGAAGCCUGAUGCAGCGACGUCGCGUGAGGGAUGGAGGCCUUCGGGUUGUGAACCUCUUUCUCCGGUGGUGAAGGCCCUGUCCGUUGCGGCGGGGUUGACGGUAGCCGGGUAUGAAGCGCCGGCUAACUACGUG
This 499-nucleotide ribosomal RNA is filed under the name uncultured bacterium. Its description in RNAcentral is "partial 16S ribosomal RNA". It matches the Rfam family "Bacterial small subunit ribosomal RNA", at positions 28 to 507 of the family's 1533-position model. The record is from RNAcentral.